This 483-nucleotide ribosomal RNA is filed under the name uncultured bacterium. RNAcentral's name for it is "bacterial SSU rRNA". It matches the Rfam family "Bacterial small subunit ribosomal RNA", at positions 30 to 532 of the family's 1533-position model. The record is from RNAcentral.
AUUGAACGCUGGCGGAAUGCUUUACACAUGCAAGUCGAACGGUAGAGGGGGCAACCCCUUGAGAGUGGCGAACGGGUGAGUAAUAUAUCGGAACGUGCCCAGUCGUGGGGAUAACGUAGCGAAAGUUACGCUAAUACCGCAUACGAUCUAAGGAUGAAAGCGGGGGACUCGCAAGAGCCUCGCGCGAUUGGAGCGGCCGAUAUCAGAUUAGGUAGUUGGUGGGGUAAAGGCUCACCAAGCCAACGAUCUGUAGCUGGUCUGAGAGGACGACCAGCCACACUGGAACUGAGACACGGUCCAGACUCCUACGGGAGGCAGCAGUGGGGAAUAUUGGACAAUGGGCGAAAGCCUGAUCCAGCAAUGCCGCGUGAGUGAUGAAGGCCUUAGGGUUGUAAAGCUCUUUUACCCGAGAUGAUAAUGACAGUAUCGGGAGAAUAAGCUCCGGCUAACUCCGUGCCAGCAGCCGCGGUAAAGUGACUACUG